Molecule: non-coding RNA, 80 nt
Organism: Orbilia javanica
Lineage: Eukaryota; Fungi; Ascomycota; Orbiliomycetes; Orbiliales; Orbiliaceae
Source: the annotation of a GenBank genome assembly
GGACCUGUGGUGUAGUUGGAAGCACAUUCAGUUUGUUGAUUACUAACUGAAAGGUUACAGUUCGAAUCUGUAUCCGUCCA